AUAAAGAUGCUAAAUCCGAAGAGCAAACAAGGCCAUCCCGAGUUCCAGCAAGAGGUGAAUUUCCUUUCCUUUUAAUCCAUGCAACAGAACACUUCUGAAAAAUUCUCAUUCUAAGCAGAUAAAAAAAAUAUAUGUAAGUCAACAGCAAUCUUAUCAGUAUUAUGUAAUACGUGUUUCCGAUUACCCAACAGAACCGAUCACUAACCAAUAGUUUCUAUGGUCUCUCCAGGUUCAUGUGCUAGGCAUGAUCAAGAACCCAUAUAUAAUUAAACUAAUGGGAGUGUGCUCAAAGUCAUGUUCUCUUGUCUACGAAUACCUCCCCAGUG
RNAcentral lists this long non-coding RNA (326 nucleotides) under Ananas comosus (pineapple). RNAcentral describes it as "long non-coding RNA (ACOM_LNC031993)". Lineage: Eukaryota; Viridiplantae; Streptophyta; Magnoliopsida; Poales; Bromeliaceae. The record is from RNAcentral.